ACGGGAGGCAGCAGUGAGGAAUAUUGGUCAAUGGAGGCAACUCUGAACCAGCCAUCUCGCGUGAAGGAAUACGGCCCUAUGGGUCUUAAACUUCUUUUAUAGGGGGAUAAAGUGAGGCAUGUAUGCCUUUUUGUAGGUACCCUAUGAAUAAGCAUCGGCUAACUCCGUGCCAGCAGCCGCGGUAAUACGGAGGAUGCGAGCGUUAUCCGGAUUUAUUGGGUUUAAAGGGUGCGCAGGCGGCACGUUAAGUCAGCGGUGAAAUGCAGGGGCUCAACCCCGGCACUGCCGUUGAAACUGGCGAGCUCGAGUACGGAUGAAGUCGGCGGAAUGUGAUGUGUAGCGGUGAAAUGCUUAGAUAUGACGAAGAACUCCGAUUGGGAAGCCAGCUUACUGUAGCGCCACUGACGCUGAUGCUCGAAAGCGUGGGUAUCGAACAGGAUUAGAUACCCUGGUA
This 454-nucleotide ribosomal RNA is filed under the name uncultured Porphyromonas sp. RNAcentral describes it as "partial 16S ribosomal RNA". It matches the Rfam family "Bacterial small subunit ribosomal RNA", at positions 341 to 792 of the family's 1533-position model. The record is from RNAcentral. Lineage: Bacteria; Pseudomonadati; Bacteroidota; Bacteroidia; Bacteroidales; Porphyromonadaceae.